Small nuclear RNA from Vulpes vulpes (red fox), 98 nucleotides. NCBI's taxonomy places the organism in Eukaryota, Metazoa, Chordata, Mammalia, Carnivora, Canidae. The record is from Ensembl.
GUGCCUGCUUUGGCAGCACAUACAUAAAAUUGGAAUGAUACAGAGAAAUUAACAUGUGCAAGAAGGACAUGUAAAUUUGUGGAAAAUUCCAUAUUUUU